RNAcentral lists this ribosomal RNA (253 nucleotides) under uncultured bacterium. Its description in RNAcentral is "partial 16S ribosomal RNA". It matches the Rfam family "Bacterial small subunit ribosomal RNA", at positions 524 to 776 of the family's 1533-position model. The record is from RNAcentral.
UACGUAGGGUGCAAGCGUUGUCCGGAAUUAUUGGGCGUAAAGAGCUCGUAGGCGGUCUGUCGCGUCUGCUGUGAAAACCCGCGGCUUAACCGCGGGCCUGCAGCUGAUACGGGCAGGCUAGAGUUCGGUAGGGGAGACUGGAAUUCCUGGUGUAGCGGUGAAAUGCGCAGAUAUCAGGAGGAACACCGGUGGCGAAGGCGGGUCUCUGGGCCGAUACUGACGCUGAGGAGCGAAAGCGUGGGGAGCGAACAGG